AACGAACGCUGGCGGCAUGCCUAACACAUGCAAGUCGAACGAGACCUUCGGGUCUAGUGGCGCACGGGUGCGUAACGCGUGGGAACCUGCCCUUAGGUUCGGAAUAACUCCCCGAAAGGGGUGCUAAUACCGGAUAAUGUCUUCGGACCAAAGAUUUAUCGCCUUUGGAUGGGCCCGCGUUUGAUUAGCUAGUUGGUAGGGUAAAAGCCUACCAAGGCGACGAUCCAUAUCUGGUCUGAGAGGAUGAUCAGCCACACUGGGACUGAGACACGGCCCAGACUCCUACGCGAGGCAGCAGUGGGGAAUAUUGGACAAUGGGCGAAAGCCUGAUCCAGCAAUGCCGCGUGAGUGAUGAAGGCCUUAGGGUUGUAAAGCUCUUUUACCCGGGAUGAUAAUGACAGUACCGGGAGAAUAAGCUCCGGCUAACUCCGUG
This 433-nucleotide ribosomal RNA is filed under the name uncultured bacterium. RNAcentral describes it as "partial 16S ribosomal RNA". It matches the Rfam family "Bacterial small subunit ribosomal RNA", at positions 29 to 507 of the family's 1533-position model. The record is from RNAcentral.